RNAcentral lists this ribosomal RNA (443 nucleotides) under uncultured bacterium. RNAcentral describes it as "bacterial SSU rRNA". It matches the Rfam family "Bacterial small subunit ribosomal RNA", at positions 338 to 795 of the family's 1533-position model. The record is from RNAcentral.
CCUACGGGGGGCUGCAGUGGGGAAUUUUACACAAUGGGGGAAACCCUGAUGUAGCGACACCGCGUGAACGAAGAAGCCUUUUGGGGUGUAAAGUUCUGUCGGCUGGAACGAAAAAAAUGACGGUACCAGCAAAGGAAGCAUCGGCUAACUACGUGCCAGCAGCCGCGGUAAGACGUAGGAUGCAAGCGUUGUCCGGAUUUAUUGGGCGUAAAGAGUUCGUAGGCGGUUAUUUAAGUCUGGUGUUAAAUACUGUGGCCCAACCACAGAACUGCAUUGGAUACUGGAUGACUUGAGUGCGGUAGAGGCGAGUGGAAUUCCCAGUGUAGCGGUGAAAUGCGUAGAUAUUGGGAAGAACACCAGUGGCGUAAGCGACUCGCUGGCCCGUAACUGACGCUGAGGAACGAAAGCCAGGGGAGCGAAUGGGAUUAGAUACCCGUGUAGUC